Molecule: ribosomal RNA, 92 nt
Filed under: Agromyces fucosus
Lineage: Bacteria; Bacillati; Actinomycetota; Actinomycetes; Micrococcales; Microbacteriaceae
Description: partial 16S ribosomal RNA
Rfam family: Bacterial small subunit ribosomal RNA
Source: RNAcentral
UUUUUUGGAGAGUUUGAUCCUGGCUCAGGACGAACGCUGGCGGCGUGCUUAACACAUGCAAGUCGAACGAUGAACUUGGAGCUUGCUCUGGG